UACGUCGAAACGUCAGCGGCUCGUUUGAGAGACACCCAAGUAGCAGGGGCCCGAGAAAUCCCGUGUGAAUCUGGCGGGACCACCCGCUAAGCCUAAAUAGUUCCCUGGUGACCGAUAGCGGAUAGUACCGUGAGGGAAUGGUGAAAAGUACCGCGGGAGCGGAGUGAAAUAGUACCUGAAACCGUGUGCCUACAAGCCGUGGGAGCGUCGGAUGGAAGCUUGCUUCUAUCUCGUGACUGCGUGCCUUUUGAAGAAUGAGCCUGCGAGUUUGCGGUGUGUUGCGAGGUUAACCCUGGUGGGGAAGCCGUAGCGAAAGCGA
RNAcentral lists this non-coding RNA (319 nucleotides) under Streptomyces afghaniensis 772. RNAcentral's name for it is "Bacterial large subunit ribosomal RNA". It matches the Rfam family "Bacterial large subunit ribosomal RNA", at positions 376 to 680 of the family's 2925-position model. Lineage: Bacteria; Bacillati; Actinomycetota; Actinomycetes; Kitasatosporales; Streptomycetaceae. The record is from Rfam by way of RNAcentral.